UUUAAAAUGAGAGUUUGAUCCUGGCUCAGGACGAACGCUGGCGGCGUGCCUAAUACAUGCAAGUCGAGCGAGCUUGCCUAGAUGAAUUUGGUGCUUGCACCAAAUGAAACUAGAUACAAGCGAG
Molecule: ribosomal RNA, 124 nt
Filed under: Soehngenia saccharolytica
Lineage: Bacteria; Bacillati; Bacillota; Tissierellia; Tissierellales; Tissierellaceae
Description: partial 16S ribosomal RNA
Rfam family: Bacterial small subunit ribosomal RNA
Source: RNAcentral